UUGAUGGUUUUUAUAAGAGUUGUAAACUCUUUUUUAUUUGCCAUUGUAGCCUUAAGA
RNAcentral lists this transfer RNA (57 nucleotides) under Scatoglyphus polytrematus. Its description in RNAcentral is "tRNA-Tyr". Lineage: Eukaryota; Metazoa; Arthropoda; Arachnida; Sarcoptiformes; Acaridae. The record is from RNAcentral.